Molecule: ribosomal RNA, 515 nt
Filed under: uncultured bacterium
Lineage: Bacteria
Description: bacterial SSU rRNA
Rfam family: Bacterial small subunit ribosomal RNA
Source: RNAcentral
GAUGAACGCUGGCGGCGUGCCUAAUACAUGCAAGUCGUACGGGGGUAGCUUUGUGGUAACAUAGAGCUAUCUCGUUAGUGGCGAAUGGGUGAGUAAUACGUUGGUGACCUGCCCCAAAGAGGGGGAUAACUCCGGGAAACUGGGGCUAAUACCUCAUGUGCUCUUUGAGAUUAGAAGCUGAGAGAGUAAAGGUGAAAACCGCUUUGGGAGGGGCCUACGUCCCAUCAGCUAGUUGGUAAGGUAAUGGCUUACCAAGGCUGCGACGGGUAGGAGGCCUGAGAGGGUGGCCCCCCACACUGGCACUGAAACACGGGCCAGACACCUACGGGUGGCAGCAGUAGGGAAUAUUGCACAAUGGGCGAAAGCCUGAUGCAGCAACGCCGCGUGCGCGAUGAAGGCCUUCGGGUUGUAAAGCGUCUUUUGUUUGGGAAGAAUCCGGUUGGUUAAUACCUGAUCGGGAUGACGGUAACCAAAGAAUAAGCACCGGCUAACUUCGUGCCAGCAGCCGCGGUAAG